This is a long non-coding RNA of Papaver somniferum (opium poppy), 1252 nucleotides long. RefSeq lists it as uncharacterized. The transcript has 3 exons. The record is from RefSeq and is a predicted model, not a curated record. Lineage: Eukaryota; Viridiplantae; Streptophyta; Magnoliopsida; Ranunculales; Papaveraceae.
UCUAUGGGUUGUAUCUCUCUCCUUAUCAUCGUUCUAACCUAACUAUACUUCAGCCUCACUAUCUCUCUCCUAGCGCCUCUCUUAUCUAUCUUCUUCAUCGACCUCUAAACCGAUACAGAAAAAUACCCAGAAGAAAUCUCUUAAAUUAUUGCUCUUAAACCCAACCCCUUUCUCCCCAUCUUCUUUAUCUCCUCGACAAAAUCGAGUUCUCUAGUAAACCUUAUUCUAAACAGGUAACCAUGUACUUAAGCAAAGAGGAAGAGAAGCAUUCUUCUUACCAUUUUCUUAUUUUCAUUUUUGCGGUUUAGGUUAUUACUUAACGAUCUUCUUUUAUUUUUUUUCAGAGGGUUUCUUUUUAUCCAACUUCUGUUCAGAUAUGAAAUAAAAUUAGGGUUCUGAUUUUGUGGUUUUAAUUUGUUAGGGUUUCUGUAAUUUGUGUUUGUAGAAAAUUUCAUCGAUUUUUCUUUUGAUUCUUCCAAUUUCUUUGGGUUGGGUAUCUUUCUGAAUCCUACAAGUUUGAUAAACUGAUUUUUGAAAAUUAUUACAAUUAUCUUGACUGCCUUAGACUGUAUGACCUAAUUUGGUAAAUACUGAGAUUUCUUCUACAAUUCUUUCUCUGCAUCCUAAUUUUUCUUUAUACAAUUUCUUUUCUAAGAUCUGACUUAGGUUCGUAACAUUCUUGCUCUUUACAGAAACCAAGCAAUAUGUUUCUAAGAUGGGUAAACUCGCUCAAUUUUUAUUGCAUUUAGAUUCUAUUUAUUGUUAUUUUUUUGAUUGUAUGGCUUUUGAUUUCAGGGUUUGUUGUUGAGGUUGUUCUCCUUCUAUACAGCAAAGAGGAUAAAAUUCUUUCACCCAAUUUCUUAUUGAUUUUUCUUUUCAUCAUUCUUUUGGUAUAACCGCAUGUUUAGGGUUUUUGAUUUUAGGGCUUUAUGAUUAUAGGGUUCACUGUUAUGGUAUUUCUCCCUUUCUACAGAAAAAAGGGUAAAACUCUUUUACUCAAUACAUUUUCCUUCCAUCAUUUUUUCGGUUCAACUGCGUGUUUACCGGUUUUUGAUUUCACGGUAGCUGUUAAGGUCUUUCUCCAAACAAAAAGGGGCAACAAGAUGAUGAAUUGGAUGAUUUCAGUGAAAAUGUGCAAAGAACUUGAGGUGUGGAGCUCACUUUACACAAAGAAACUACUUAAUAGGAUUAAGGACAUGUACAAGCAUGUGAAUGAUGGUUCUUGACUGAAGGCUCCUCUUAUUUAUAAUGG